Molecule: long non-coding RNA, 1806 nt
Filed under: Homo sapiens (human)
Lineage: Eukaryota; Metazoa; Chordata; Mammalia; Primates; Hominidae
Description: uncharacterized LOC105369325, transcript variant 2 (LOC105369325)
Source: RNAcentral
AUAUGUUGCUACGCAGCUUGUACACAAAAGCUCACGUCAGCACUGCUCGUUAACAGCCCCAAACUGGAAACCACCCUGAUGUCCACUAAUGGAGAAAGAGAUGAAUGGCGAUAUAUGUACAUCUACAUGUGUAUCCGCAUUUCUCUGCAAUACAAAAGGAGCAAACCACUGCUAACACAGUGUGGACUCCCAGACCAUGACUGUGAGGGAAGAAGGCGGAAACGAGUGUGCAGCGUGCAAUUUCAUUUUUAUCGUAUUCUGGAAAUGACAACGUUCUGAGCCACUACUGCUGGGUGUCUGCUCCUGGGGUACCUGCUGGCCCUGAAUCACCCCUCUGGAUUCCUGGGACUCCAGGAACUUUGGGAUCCAGAGAAGCGAGCUCUUCCAUCCCAGGACCCAUGACUGCCCACGCUGUUGAGCUUCUGAGGGCAGGGACCAUGUUUUCUCUCUCAGAGCCAGGGCUGCAUGUUGGAACUGGCCCUGACAGUGUCAGUUAAACUUUCACGAAACAAAUGUUCCUGAACUUGAAGCCAUAGGACAGGACUCUGAAGAUCACAGAAUCACACAGUGAGAAAAUGAUGCCCUUUUCAGCUCUGCACCAGUCCUUCUCAUGACAGAAAGGAGAGUGUCUCGGGUUGGUUCGAGGAUGUCUUUAACCCCUCUCAUCGUUGCCCGUCUCGACACAGAACCAAGAACAGGCGGGUCCUAGACUCAGACUCUAGUGGACGAAUGUGUCCAGCAAAAGUAACAGCAUUACUUUAUUUUACAAUUAUCUUCAACGUAUACCAAGUGAUACUGGUUUUCCAUUUAUAAUGGCAAUGUAGCUUCCCUUGAGUUUGUUUUAAAUUUUAAUUCAAUUUCAGACAUACGGAAAAGUUGCGAGCAUAGUAGAGUUCCUGGAUGCCUUUCACCCAGAUUCCCUUAGUGUUAAUAUUUUCUCCCAAUCUCUCUCUCUGUGUCUCCCCCUACCUUCCCCACCAAACUACCUACCUACCUACCUACCUACACACACACACACACACACACACACACACACACACACUUUUUUUCUGAAUUAUUUAAAAGCAUGCUGUUCUUUCACUGCCAGUCCUGGUAAUGUCCUUUAUGGCAAAAGAAAACCCCAGGCCAUGCCUUGCGUUCAGUUGGGAUCCCUCUUUUUUUUUCCUUUUUUUGCCAUAGAGUUUCAUUCUUGUCACCCAGGCUGGAGUGCAAUGGCGUGGUCUCGGCUCACUGCAACCUCUGCCUCCCGGGUUCAAGCGAUUCUCCUGUCUCAGCCUCCCGAAGUGCUGGGAUUACAGGCACCCACCACCACGCCCGGCUAAUUUUUUGUAUUUUUAGUAGAGAUGGGGUUUCACCAUGUUGGCCAGGCUGGUCUUGAACUCCUGACCUCAGGUGAUCCGCCUGCCUCGGCCUCCCAAAGUGCUGGGAUUACAGGUGUGAGCCACCGCACCAGGCCUCUUUUACCUCUAAAUGUGUCAGUACUCCAGUGUGUAUUUCCUAAAAGCAAGACUAUUUUAUUACAUAAGUAUAGUACACUUUUCAAAAUCAGGGAACUAACACUGAUAUAACCCUGUAGUCACUAGACCUCCUUCCUGUUUCACUGCCUGUCCUUGUAAUGUCCUUUAUGGCAAAAGAAAACGUCAGGUCAUGCCUUGCCUUCACUCGGGAUGCCUCUUUGACUCUUUUCAUCUGAAACAGUUUUUGAGUCUUUGUAUUCUAUGACAUUGGCAUUUUUGAAAAGUACCUGCCAGAUAUUUUUUAAGAUGUCUAAAAAUUCCUUUUUAAAUAAAUUUAAGUUUUAAAUAA